UCAGAGAGAGAAGGGAGGAAGAAUGAAGGUGAAUCAGAGAGAGAAGGGAGGAAGAAACCAGGUGAAUCAGAGAGAGAAGGGAGGAAGAAUGAAGGUGAAUCAGAGAGAGAAGGGAGGAAGAAUGAAGGUGAAUCAGAGAGAGAAGGGAGGAAGAAACCAGGUGAAUCAGAGAGAGAAGGGAGGAAGAAACCAGGUGAAUCAGAGAGAGAAGGGAGGAAGAAAUCAGGUGAAUCAGAGAGAGAAGGGAGGAAGAAUGAAGGUGAAUCAGAGAGAGAAGGGAGGAAGAAUGAAGGCGAAUCAGAGAUAGAAGGGAGGAAGAAUGAAGGCGAAUCAGAGAGAGAAGGGAGGAAGAAUGAAGGUGAAUCAGAGAGAGAAGGGAGAAAGAAACAAGGAGAAUCAGAGAGAGAAGGGAGGACGAAUGAAGGUGAAUCAGAGAGAGAAGGGAGGAAGAAACCAGGUGAAUCAGAGAGAGAAGGGAGGAAGAAACAAGGUGAAUCAGAGAGAGAAGGGAGGAAGAAACCAGGUGAAUCAGAGUGAGAAGGGAGGAAGAAACAAGGUGAAUCAGAGCGAGAAGGGAGGAAGAAUGAAGGUGAAUCAGAGAGAGAAGGGAGAAAGAAACAAGGAGAAUCAGAGAGAGAAGGGAGGACGAAUGAAGGUGAAUCAGAGAGAGAAGGGAGGAAGAAUGAAGGUGAAUCAGAGCGAGAAGGGAGAAAGAAACAAGGAGAAUCAGAGAGAGAAGGGAGGACGAAUGAAGGUGAAUCAGAGAGAGAAGGGAGGAAGAAACCAGGUGAAUCAGAGAGAGAAGGGAGGAAGAAACAAGGUGAAUCAGAGAGAGAAGGGAGGAAGAAACCAGGUGAAUCAGAGUGAGAAGGGAGGAAGAAACAAGGUGAAUCAGAGCGAGAAGGGAGGAAGAAUGAAGGUGAAUCAGAGAGAGAAGGGAGGAAGAAACCAGGUGAAUCAGAGAGAGAAGGGAGGAAGAAACAAGGUGAAUCAGAGAGAGAAGGGAGGAAAAAUGAAGGUGAAUCAGAGAGAGAAGGGAGGAAGAAUGAAGGUGAAUCAGAGAGAGAAGGGAGGAAGAAACCAGGUGAAUCAGAGAGAGAAGGGAGGUAGAAACAAGGUGAAUCAGAGAGAGAAGGGAGGAAGAAACCAGGUGAAUCAGAGAGAGAAGGGAGGAAGAAACCAGGUGAAUCAGAGAGAGAAGGGAGGAAGAAUGAAGGUGAAUCAGAGAGAGAAUGGAGGAAGAAUGAAGGUGAAUCAGAGAGAGAAGGGAGGAAGAAACAAGGUGAAUCAGAGAGAGAAGGGAGGAAGAAUGAAG
Molecule: long non-coding RNA, 1315 nt
Organism: Oncorhynchus nerka (sockeye salmon)
Lineage: Eukaryota; Metazoa; Chordata; Actinopteri; Salmoniformes; Salmonidae
Exons: 2
Source: RefSeq, a predicted model, not a curated record